Molecule: ribosomal RNA, 2102 nt
Filed under: Triticum aestivum (bread wheat)
Lineage: Eukaryota; Viridiplantae; Streptophyta; Magnoliopsida; Poales; Poaceae
Description: partial small subunit ribosomal RNA
Source: RNAcentral
AUGCCCGACUGUGACAUCACCUGUGGCAACAUGAGUGUGCCAUACCCGUUCGGAAUUGGCCCAGCCAGGUGCUACUGGCCGGGGUUCAACCUCACCUGCGACCGUUCCAGCAACCCGCCGCGGUUGCUGCUCGGCGACGGCACCCUCCAAGUGCAAGACCUCUCCAUUACCAUGGCGACAUGGGUGGAUGCCAUACGCACUGGAGACAUAAUAGUCGACGGCAAUGGUGAAGGCAUGCUCGGCGGCGGCCUUACGACCGACGGGCCAUACACGAUUUCAUCCAACCAGCUCAUCCUGACGGGCUGCAAUGUUCAGGCGACGCUCAAGAACAGCGACGUGACAGUGAGCAGCUGUUCUUCUCUCUGUGGAAACGGCGAUGGACUCUCCCUGGCGCUAUCCAGACUCGAAGCAGGCAUACAAUGCUCCGGCAAUGGCUGCUGCCAGUCGGACAUUGUCUUCGAGCCUUCUCAGGUAGCAGGAAGGCUUGUCAACAGCACGUCCUAUGACGUGCAGCUCAAAUGGUUUGGUUGGAACCGCAGCAUGGACCAGCAGUGGCCCGUGCGCGUCUUUGUCGCGAGAUCCGGCUGGUUCAGCCGUACAUCGGUCUUUCAUGAGCUAUUACGAACUGACGGCCCUGCGUCAGAGGAUGCAAUGAAAGUUCCCUUUCGGCUGGACUGGGAGGUUGUUGGCCAUGGUGUAGAAUGCUCCAACGUCUGCAAGAGCAAGCACAGCAAGUGCAAAAAGGGUAAGAGAGGCUACACAUGCUCCUGCACAGACGGCUACAAAGGGAAUCCCUACAUCACCGACGGAUGCAAAGAUAUCGAUGAGUGCAGUGAUGAAGGGUACUGCUAUGGUGAUUGUACCAAUUUGGAUGGAGCAUAUGAUUGCCGGUGUCCGGCAGGAACCCAUGGCGAUGCUACCCUGCCUGGUGGCUGCCUCAGUUCCAUCUCGUAAGGAGUUGCUGUUGGGGCAGGCAUCAUACUAUUUGUUCUCGCUGGAUCCGUCGCACAUAAGAAAUUCAAACAUCGAAGAUCUCUGAUGUUGAGAAAGAACUUCGAAAAAAAGCGAGGACAGUUGUUGCAACAAUUGGUAUCACAAAGAGCUGAUAUUGCAGAAAGAAUGACUAUAACCUUAGACGAGCUUGAGAAGGCAACAAACAAAUUUGAUAAAGCUCGUGAGCUUGGUGGUGGGGGGCAUGGUACAGUCUACAAAGGGAUUCUAUCAGAUCUUCAUGUUGUAGCCAUCAAGAAACCAAAGGCGGCGAUUCAAAAGGAGAUUGAUGAAUUCAUUAAUGAGGUUGCUAUCUUAUCACAGAUCAACCAUAGAAAUGUUGUAAAGCUCUAUGGUUGUUGCCUUGAAACAGAGGUCCCCAUGUUGGUGUACGAGUUUAUAUCUAAUGGUACCCUUUAUGAUCAUCUCCAUGUUGAUGGACCAAAAUCAUUGUCAUGGAAUGAUAGGCUACGGAUAGCAACUGAGACUGCCAGAUCCUUAGCCCAUCUUCACUCAGCAGCUUCAGUACCUAUCAUCCAUAGAGAUAUCAAGUCUGUUAACAUACUUUUGGAUGAUACUCUAACAGCAAAGGUUGCAGACUUUGGAGCUUCAAGAUAUGUUCUGUUGGAUAGAUCAGGGAUCACAACAAGAGUGCAAGGUACAAGAGGAUAUCUGGACCCAUGUGUUUCUAUACCGGGCGUCUCACGGAAAAAAGUGAUGUGUACAGCUUUGGUGUCCUGCUUCUGGAGUUGUUGACUAGAAAGAAGCCAUUUUCAUACAUCUCUUCUGAAGAUGAAGGCCUUGUCACACAUUUUUCUACCCUAUUCACACAAGGCAACUUGUCAGAGAUACUAGAUCCGCAAGUUCUGGCAGAGGGAGGCAGAGAAAUGGAAGAAGUCGCAGCAAUUGCAGCAAUGUGUAUAACAUUAAGAGGACGCCCGUCAAUGAAGCAAGUGGAGAUUAGACUUGAAGGCACUCAAGCAUCCAGGGGACAUGAGGGGGGUGAUAUAAGAAAAUUUUCACGGACUGCAGAUGGAAGUAGGAGCGGGGAAUUGUCCAGGCAGUAUAGUAUGGAAGAGGAGUUCGCGUUAUCUUCAAGGUAUCCUCGGUAG